Long non-coding RNA from Mytilus trossulus (common blue mussel), 797 nucleotides. RefSeq lists it as uncharacterized. The transcript is spliced from 3 exons. The record is from RefSeq and is a predicted model, not a curated record. NCBI's taxonomy places the organism in Eukaryota, Metazoa, Mollusca, Bivalvia, Mytilida, Mytilidae.
AAAAAGUUGAAGUAGGUCAAAGACGCUAACAGCAUUUUAAAUCAUUAAACAUUUCAGCAUCAACGGUAAAGGAAGCUGUAAUUAAGGAUCUUGGUGCAGUUUGGUAACAGACAGUGAUAUUUCAAGUUACAUGUGACCAGCAUAACAAAGUGUUUCACUAGAUUGAGCUCUCUGUCUAAGUGUACUUUAAAGGUUCUUUGCACUGAGUUCAGUUUAUUGAUAUGAGUAUACCUUCUGUGUGAAAUUAUAAGAUGUAAAAACAGACUACUCAUAUCUACAUGUCCAUGAAAUGAAAUCUAAGGCUGUUCAGAAAAAAGUUGGAUACAUAGUACGUUGUUGGACAAAAUAAAGAUAAACUAGACUAAGCCAAUGGAUUUGCUUGCUGAACAAACUUUUGAGGACUAUCGUAUUCAAAAUUUGAAUGAGUGGUAUAUUGUUUUACCAGGAUAUUCAGCCACCAGCUGAGUGAUUAUGGAACAAUCAGUUUGAUUAUUUAGUUUAUUGCCAGGAACACAUGGAACUUUAAAUUUUUGUUAUUAACUUUCAGCAUUUAUAUCUCAAAUACAUUUGUAAUAGUAAAUUUGUUCCUUAUAUGGUAAUAAAAUGAUUAGUCACAGUAAAAAAUGUUUGACGGGAUCUGGCAAUUUAACAAGAUUUUCUUAUAAUUUGUGAUUAUUCCAAAAAAGAAACUUAACUCCACUUUUUUCUUUUAUUUUUAACAUUUUGUUCUUACAUGAGCAUGAUGAAUAUAUAUAUUUCUUUUACUUUGUGAUUUUUUUAUUAAACUACAUGUUCCA